This is a long non-coding RNA of Melitaea cinxia (Glanville fritillary), 780 nucleotides long. RefSeq lists it as uncharacterized. The record is from RefSeq and is a predicted model, not a curated record. The transcript is spliced from 2 exons. NCBI's taxonomy places the organism in Eukaryota, Metazoa, Arthropoda, Insecta, Lepidoptera, Nymphalidae.
AAGUUGGCUCCACCAUUAAGCCAGUGCUAUAACUCAUAAUAAUGUCAGGGAAGUACUCGAGAACAAGAGAACGAAAGUAGACGUGCUUUCUGCCCACCACUAUUUCUUUAUUUUUUUAACUUUUUUUUAUUUGGAUCAGUCAGCCAUGUUUCAGUCCAUAUAAAAAAAUAAUAAUAUCCGUGGUGUGUUUGAACACCCACGGAACAUCUUUGCAGAAAAUGAGAAUUUAUAAACAGGAAGUUUUAUGUAACUUCUUCGUAUGUAUUAUAAAUUAUCAUUCAUCAUGUAAUUUUGUUUAUGUAUGCACACUACUUAUGUUUUCUAUUCGAUCUAAUCUGAAUAUCGCCUUUUCAGCAAUUUUAAUUUAACCGUGUACCUUAGUGUAUUUAUAUUAUAAAACAUAACAUAUUUAACAGGUAAAAUAAUAACAUUGGAAAAUGGCAAACAACCGAUGUUGUACGAAGGAUAUACGUAUUUCAAGCAUUACAAGGUUCGUGAUUUAUUUCACUGGAGUUGCACGAGAUUCGGAAAGUGUAAAGCUUUUGUGUUAGCUGGGGACGAAGAUUUGACGAUACACAGCGUACAUAAUGAACACAAUCAUGGUGUCCAGAACUUUUACGUUAAUAGCGCUGGAAAGUAUAUUAAGUGUUGAAGCUUCAGGUUCAACUUCGCUUCACGACACAAUUGACUUUAUAUUUGGUCAGGCGUCAACUGAUCAAAUUAGUGACGGUGAACAUAGAAUUAAUUUCAAUAUACUGCUGGCACUGCUCAUAGUAAGAA